AGCUCCCCACGUACAGUGCCCAUGCCUCUACGCUCCUCUUGCUAGCCUAAACAGCCAUGAACCUUGAAGUCUCUUCCCAGGAGCAUGGAUGGAUGGCCUGCAUGCUGCUCAAUUAAAAGUCAGUUGCACGGGCAAUCUGAAUCUCUGGUGAACCCUGAGAAGAAGAGUAGCCGAAGAAGAAAGAUCCGGGGAAUUCCUUUCCUGAAUUCAGUCGACAUCAGAAUCAAUUCGGACAGGCCACCCCACGGGUAUGGCAAAAUGCAACGGAGGCACGCGUUGUCACAAAUAUGAGCUGUACGGGUCUCGAGUCUCUCUCGACCAUAUAUAGACAGAUAGACCUGCAGGUUUAUGAGCUGCACCUACUCUAUUUUGGCCACUCGGUAGCAGGCCACAUGAGUAGCAGGUGAACACAUUGAUUAAUUCGCACCAUCUACAAAUCUUAUGUCUGUGCAAUCCAUACAUUACAUCCUCGUAGUACUGAUUUUCAUCACACAAACAAACGUCACCAGAUCCCUUCAUCACAUUAAGCAAUUCAUGUGUACGCAGUUUGUAUCUGCUCAUCAUCAAUCAACUUAUUCGCUGCUCAGGAUGACAGUGCAUUUGUAAAUCUGCAUCAGCUAGAUAGCGCCGCCCUGAUCGUUCAUCACAC
This is a non-coding RNA of Aegilops tauschii subsp. strangulata, 649 nucleotides long. The record is from RefSeq and is a predicted model, not a curated record. Lineage: Eukaryota; Viridiplantae; Streptophyta; Magnoliopsida; Poales; Poaceae.